RNAcentral lists this long non-coding RNA (209 nucleotides) under Mytilus galloprovincialis (Mediterranean mussel). Lineage: Eukaryota; Metazoa; Mollusca; Bivalvia; Mytilida; Mytilidae. The record is from RNAcentral.
UGUGUUUGUGUUUUUUGUUAGAAUUAGAGGAUUUUCAAUUUCAAAAUAUUGGACAUGGAAUAGACAUCAUGACCUACUUUACUGACAUCCAGCUUAUUUGGAGUGGAAUUUUGAAGUAUUAUUUAUAAGUGGAGCCUAAUAACAUGGACUUCUAUUUUAAUAAAAAGUCUUCUUUUGUGUUUUAAUCAUAACUUUAAGGCAGAUUUUUA